Molecule: unclassified non-coding RNA, 165 nt
Filed under: uncultured Geastrum
Lineage: Eukaryota; Fungi; Basidiomycota; Agaricomycetes; Geastrales; Geastraceae
Description: sequence contains ITS1
Source: RNAcentral
CUGAAAGAAAUAAGGGUUUUGAGACUGCGUUCAAAUGAGAACGUGUGCUCGACCCUUCCUCUUUUCAUCCACACACACCUUUGUGCACUAUGGGACGCAAGUCCCCAUUUUCACAUUAAGAACCUAGUUAUAUGCAUGUUUUUUAUAUACUCUAAGGAGUAAAUA